This 292-nucleotide ribosomal RNA is filed under the name uncultured bacterium. RNAcentral describes it as "partial 16S ribosomal RNA". It matches the Rfam family "Bacterial small subunit ribosomal RNA", at positions 505 to 796 of the family's 1533-position model. The record is from RNAcentral.
GUGCCAGCAGCCGCGGUAACACGGGGGGUGCAAGCGUUAUUCGGAAUUAUUGGGCGUAAAGUGCGCGCAGGCGGUCUUGCCGGUCAGGUGUGAAAGCCCGGGGCUCAACCCCGGAAGAGCAUUUGAAACAGCAAGACUUGAGUACAGGAGAGGAAAGCGGAAUUCCUGGUGUAGAGGUGAAAUUCGUAGAUAUCAGGAGGAACACUCAUGGCGAAGGCAGCUUUCUGGACUGAUACUGACGCUGAGGCGCGAAGGUGUGGGUAGCGAACAGGAUUAGAUACCCUUGUAGUCC